UACGGAGGGUGCGAGCGUUGUCCGGAAUCACUGGGCGUAAAGGGCGCGUAGGUGGCGUCGCAAGUCAACGGUGAAAGCUCGGCGCUCAACGCCGAGUCGGCCGUCGAGACUGCGAGGCUCGAGCACUGUAGGGGCAGAUGGAAUUCCGGGUGUAGCGGUGGAAUGCGUAGAGAUCCGGAAGAACACCGGUGGCGAAGGCGGUCUGCUGGGCAGUUGCUGACGCUGAGGAGCGAAAGCGUGGGGAGCGAACAGG
Molecule: ribosomal RNA, 253 nt
Filed under: uncultured bacterium
Lineage: Bacteria
Description: partial 16S ribosomal RNA
Rfam family: Bacterial small subunit ribosomal RNA
Source: RNAcentral